This 235-nucleotide ribosomal RNA is filed under the name Clostridium botulinum. RNAcentral describes it as "partial 23S ribosomal RNA". It matches the Rfam family "Bacterial large subunit ribosomal RNA", at positions 1 to 235 of the family's 2925-position model. RNAcentral also lists the same sequence under 1 other name. Lineage: Bacteria; Bacillati; Bacillota; Clostridia; Eubacteriales; Clostridiaceae. The record is from RNAcentral.
AGGUCAAGCUACAAAGGGCGCAUGGUGAAUGCCUUGGCACUAGGAGCCGAAGAAGGACGCGAUAAGCUGCGAUAAGCUUUGGGUAGCCGCAAAUAGGCUGAGAUCCAAGGAUUUCCGAAUGAGGAAACUCACAUGGGUAACCCCAUGUAUCAUGCACUGAAUACAUAGGUGUAUGAGGGUAAACCCGGGGAACUGAAACAUCUAAGUACCCGGAGGAAGAGAAAGAAAAAUCGAU